RNAcentral lists this unclassified non-coding RNA (233 nucleotides) under Hevea brasiliensis (rubber tree). The record is from RNAcentral. Lineage: Eukaryota; Viridiplantae; Streptophyta; Magnoliopsida; Malpighiales; Euphorbiaceae.
UUCAGAAAAUUCAGAGCCGAGGAAACUUGCGAGACUCGCCAGGACCUGAGAAUCGCUUCCACUUUGUAGAAUUUAGCGUCCGGAAUAUAUUCAGGGGAGCUUUGGGCUCUAACUACAGGAACAACAGGCGUAUUUCUUACGUGCUUUAUAGUAGUGUUGAACUGAGAAAAUGGAGAAUCUCUAAGCUUGGGACGAAUGGAGGUGGAAUCAAAAAGAGUUAAAUGUUUGCUGAG